UUUACAGAGUUAUCAUGGCAUGUGGAGAUUUGCAUAACAUUUGAAAAGAACAUUCCAAUGAUUGGGGAUGAUAUACCAGAUAACAUGCAGCAGAAAGUACCUUACCAUGACAUUCAGAAUGGGCUGCGUGUUUAAAAAUUUGCUCCAUAGACAUCUCCUGAAGUUGGUCAUUUCCGUGACAGCUGCAAUGACAUCUGACAAAGAGAAUUCAUUAGUCAUACUUUGACAUAUGUACUAGACUGAACAAAUAAAUGUGCUUAGGAUUAUAUACUUAAUUUAGUAUCAACAAGCGGAAACUUGAAGUUAUUUUUAUAAAUUGAAUAUAGCAAUUGUUAAAUCUAAUAUAACACUGAUGAGUUUUCUGAUAUUUAUUUGUCAACAAACAGGUGCUCCCCAACACUCUCAAUUGUCUCCCUUACAUUCACACAAGACUGGAGGAGUAUUUCCCCUUACAUUAGCAAAAAGAUAAAAAAAGUAUUUUCCCUAUAUUUUGUACAAGAUAACAUUGGUAUUUAUUUUUUUUACAAUGAGUUAUUCUUUAGUUUGAUUAAAAUUAUGUUUGUUAAUUAUAAUACCAAUCACAUGUUGAAAGGCAUUGUCAAAAAAUACUUGACUGCAAAUGAUAAUUUGUAUACACCAAACAUAUGAUGAUAUUAUGUAUUUAUCUUUUUUGUUUUUGUUUUCUUUUAUUAUGAAAAUAAUUUUUUGUAAUACCUGCUACCAUAAUCCACCGUUUGACUUGGCCCUGCAACCACUUUCAAGUAUUGUGCAUGGGAAGGUAUUGCUCUGAAAUUUUUUUGUUUCAUGAAGCGUAUAUGUAAGCGCACAAAUAAUUUUGCUAAUAAAAAUCAAUGAAGCAUUUUAGAUAAUUCUUGGUUAUGCAGUUUUGUAUGAUUUUUUUUUUGCACUUGUUUUUGUAUGAUGUUUUUAAGCAAGAAAUAGAUAAAACUGAACUUGUUCUAUGAUUGUGCAUGUGUUUUCUGUAGUUUGUCUUGAAUAUUACAUUAAUGAGUAUGAACAUUAAAUGCCUAAUCAUAUAUAAAAAAGAUAAAACAGUAGUAUACUGUUUAUCUGCAUUUUUCUUAAAAGAUUAUAAAUAAGUGUCAUACACAGCUGAUAAAGACUCCAACUGACUGAAGCUGGAGUCAAGUGCCACACCUGCAGCACCAGCGAUUGAAGGCGACUCAAUGCCUAUGACGUUCAUGAUCGCCUCUGUCACGAUGUCGAGAUUUUUUUGCAAACAACCUCCUCCUUAAAUCAAAAAAUUCAUUCAAGAAUUUAUGGAUGCGUGGUUAAAGUUAUAUAAUAACAUUUAUGAAUUUAUUCCAAACUUAAAUCAGAGUUUUACUCUUGUAUAAUUUUAAACUUGCUACUAUCAGUGUACGGUAAUGACUUAAUUCAAACAACUGAAUUUUUGAAGGUGUACUGAAACGUCAUUACCAACAGGUUUUUACUUGAAAGCAAAAUUAAACAGUGGCUACAUUGUUAAAAAUGACAUGAUAAGUCUCAAUUUUGUUGAUACAUGUACUUUACAUGAAGAGGACUUUCAUUUUCAAAGUGAUAUAUAAGACAUACAUGUAUAUGAACAAAAUACUGGGUACUCAUUUCAGAGGUAAAGCAUUACAAAGCAUUACACUUUAUAAUAUUCUUUUCCUUGUUAUAUAAAUAUUUUAUUUCUCAUUUUGCAAUAAAUUGAUGACUACCAGUCAGUGCACGGUCUCUCACGUAAUCCGUGUAGAUAAUGCGAUGCUUGGCCACUAGGUUGAGCCACUUUUUUUCAAGCUUGUUAGCUGAUCUCGUCUUGCUUGCUUUGACAUUAUACAGGUCUGACACUCUUGCCCACAUCUUCUUUUUUGUUUGGCUUGUUAUUCCUGUUAUAAAAUAUAUUUAUUUCAUUCAUAAAACAAUUAACAUGCUAUAAGCAUUGAUUGUUUAAAAUGUAGCAAAUAAAUUGGUAUGAAGAUUUU
Molecule: long non-coding RNA, 1967 nt
Organism: Dreissena polymorpha
Lineage: Eukaryota; Metazoa; Mollusca; Bivalvia; Myida; Dreissenidae
Exons: 2
Source: RefSeq, a predicted model, not a curated record